AGUGAACGCUGGCGGUAGGCCUAACACAUGCAAGUCGAACGGCAGCACAGGAGAGCUUGCUCUCUGGGUGGCGAGUGGCGGACGGGUGAGGAAUACAUCGGAAUCUACUCUGUCGUGGGGGAUAACGUAGGGAAACUUACGCUAAUACCGCAUACGACCUACGGGUGAAAGUAGGGGACCUUCGGGCCUUGCGCGAUUGAAUGAGCCGAUGUCGGAUUAGCUAGUUGGCGGGGUAAAGGCCCACCAAGGCGACGAUCCGUAGCUGGGCUGAGAGGAUUAUCAACCACACUGGAACUGAGACACGGUCCAGACUCCUACUGGAGGCAGCAGUGGGGAAUAUUGUACAAUGGGCGCAAGCCUGAUCCAGCCAUACCGCGUGGGUGAAGAAGGCCUUCGGGUUGUAAAGCCCUUUUGUUGGGAAAGAAAUCCAGCUGGCUAAUACCCGGUUGGGAUGACGGUACCCAAAGAAUAAGCACCGGCUAACUUCGUGCCAGCCGCCGCAGUAA
Molecule: ribosomal RNA, 506 nt
Filed under: uncultured bacterium
Lineage: Bacteria
Description: partial 16S ribosomal RNA
Rfam family: Bacterial small subunit ribosomal RNA
Source: RNAcentral